Molecule: ribosomal RNA, 375 nt
Filed under: uncultured eukaryote
Lineage: Eukaryota
Description: partial 18S ribosomal RNA
Rfam family: Eukaryotic small subunit ribosomal RNA
Source: RNAcentral
CAAUAGCGUAUAUUUAAGUUGUUGCAGUUAAAAAGCUCGUAGUUGGAUUUCGGUUAAGAGCGACCGGUCCGCCGUUUGGUGUGCACUGGUUGGUUUUAACUUCCUGUAGAGGACGUGCUCUGGGUUUAACGACCUGGACUCGGAGUCUACGUGGUUACUUUGAAAAAAUUAGAGUGUUCAAAGCGGGCUUACGCUUGAAUAUUUCAGCAUGGAAUAACACUAUAGGACUCCUGUCCUAUUUCGUUGGUCUCGGGACGGGAGUAAUGAUUAAGAGGAACAGUUGGGGGCAUUCGUAUUUCAUUGUCAGAGGUGAAAUUCUUGGAUUUAUGAAAGACGAACUUCUGCGAAAGCAUUUGCCAAGGAUGUUUUCGUUAA